Molecule: non-coding RNA, 423 nt
Organism: Zonotrichia albicollis (white-throated sparrow)
Lineage: Eukaryota; Metazoa; Chordata; Aves; Passeriformes; Passerellidae
Source: RefSeq, a predicted model, not a curated record
CCGGCAACGUCUACAUCAACGACAAAUCCACGGGGGCCGUGGUGGCCCAGCAGCCCUUCGGGGGAGCCCGCAUCUCAGGCACCAAUGACAAGCCCGGGGGUCCCCAUUACCUGCUGCGCUGGACGUCCCCCCAGGCCAUCAAGGAGACGCACGUGCCGCUGGGGGACUGGCGCUACGCCUACAUGCAGUGACCUGGGGACAGCCUGGGGACACGGCCACCCCCCCACUGCACUCACACUACUGACCCCGACCCCCCUCCCCUCAUGGGAAUUCUUUAAAAAAGGAAAAAACUAAAAAAAAAACAAAGCGUUGUUCAAUGGUGAAGCUCAGAGCUCCUGUGUGUCCUGGGUCGGGUGGCACUUGGGGACACGAGGGUGAUGUGGCAGUGGUUGGAUUUGGUGGCUUUAAAGGUUUUGUCCAACC